UACGUAGGGUGCAAGCGUUGCCCGGAUUCAUUGGGCGUAAAGCGCGCGCAGGCGGCCCACCAAGUCCCGCGUGAAAUCGCCCGGCUCAACCGGGCGGGGUCGCGGGAGACUGGGGGGCUCGAGCGAGGGAGGGGGCAGUGGAAUUCCCGGUGUAGUGGUGAAAUGCGUAGAGAUCGGCAGGAACACCCAGGGGGAAACCAGUCGACUGGGCAUCUACUGACGCUGAGGUGCGAGAGCGUGGGGAGCGAACCGG
This 253-nucleotide ribosomal RNA is filed under the name uncultured bacterium. RNAcentral's name for it is "partial 16S ribosomal RNA". It matches the Rfam family "Bacterial small subunit ribosomal RNA", at positions 524 to 776 of the family's 1533-position model. The record is from RNAcentral.